RNAcentral lists this ribosomal RNA (1319 nucleotides) under Salmonella enterica. Its description in RNAcentral is "partial 23S ribosomal RNA". It matches the Rfam family "Bacterial large subunit ribosomal RNA", at positions 1 to 1251 of the family's 2925-position model. The record is from RNAcentral. Lineage: Bacteria; Pseudomonadati; Pseudomonadota; Gammaproteobacteria; Enterobacterales; Enterobacteriaceae.
GGGUUGUGAGGUUAAGCGACUAAGCGUACACGGUGGAUGCCCUGGCAGUCAGAGGCGAUGAAGGGCGUGCUAAUCUGCGAUAAGCGCCGGUAAGGUGAUAUGAACCGUUAUAACCGGCGAUACCCGAAUGGGGAAACCCAGUGUGACUCGUCACACUAUCAUUAACUGAAUCCAUAGGUUAAUGAGGCGAACCGGGGGAACUGAAACAUCUAAGUACCCCGAGGAAAAGAAAUCAACCGAGAUUCCCCCAGUAGCGGCGAGCGAACGGGGAGGAGCCCAGAGCCUGAAUCAGCAUGUGUGUUAGUGGAAGCGUCUGGAAAGUCGCGCGAUACAGGGUGACAGCCCCGUACACAAAAGCGCAUGUGCUGUGAGCUCGAUGAGUAGGGCGGGACACGUGGUAUCCUGUCUGAAUAUGGGGGGACCAUCCUCCAAGGCUAAAUACUCCUGACUGACCGAUAGUGAACCAGUACCGUGAGGGAAAGGCGAAAAGAACCCCGGCGAGGGGAGUGAAAAAGAACCUGAAACCGUGUACGUACAAGCAGUGGGAGCCCCACCACUAAGCCAGUGGUGAACUCCACAUACGCAUCCUUUGCUGAGGAUACGGUUAACGGAGCGAAAGCGACGUUCAACCUCAAAAGAAGCAGAGGGGGCUUAGUGGUGGGGUGACUGCGUACCUUUUGUAUAAUGGGUCAGCGACUUAUAUUCUGUAGCAAGGUUAACCGCAUAGGGGAGCCGGAGGGAAACCGAGUCUUAAUUGGGCGUUAAGUUGCAGGGUAUAGACCCGAAACCCGGUGAUCUAGCCAUGGGCAGGUUGAAGGUUGGGUAACACUAACUGGAGGACCGAACCGACUAAUGUUGAAAAAUUAGCGGAUGACUUGUGGCUGGGGGUGAAAGGCCAAUCAAACCGGGAGAUAGCUGGUUCUCCCCGAAAGCUAUUUAGGUAGCGCCUCGUGAACUCAUCUUCGGGGGUAGAGCACUGUUUCGGCUAGGGGGCCAUCCCGGCUUACCAACCCGAUGCAAACUGCGAAUACCGGAGAAUGUUAUCACGGGAGACACACGGCGGGUGCUAACGUCCGUCGUGAAGAGGGAAACAACCCAGACCGCCAGCUAAGGUCCCAAAGUCAUGGUUAAGUGGGAAACGAUGUGGGAAGGCCCAGACAGCCAGGAUGUUGGCUUAGAAGCAGCCAUCAUUUAAAGAAAGCGUAAUAGCUCACUGGUCGAGUCGGCCUGCGCGGAAGAUGUAACGGGGCUAAACCAUGCACCGAAGCUGCGGCAGCGACACUAUGUGUUGUUGGGUAGGGGAGCGUUCUGUAAGCCUG